This is a long non-coding RNA of Papaver somniferum (opium poppy), 899 nucleotides long. RefSeq lists it as uncharacterized. The transcript is spliced from 4 exons. Lineage: Eukaryota; Viridiplantae; Streptophyta; Magnoliopsida; Ranunculales; Papaveraceae. The record is from RefSeq and is a predicted model, not a curated record.
CUGUAUUUAGUUUUCUCCCUUUUUUCCUUUUUUUCACGAUCGGCUUGAGUUUUUGGGCGAAACGAUUUUUUACUUCUCUGGUAAUCUUUUCUCACGAGGAGAAGAAGUUCCUUACUGAUAUGGAUGGAGAUCAUGGAGUUGAAUUAGGUGAUGAAGAAGUUGAAAUUUGCAGUAGUGUAUUGGACGAUGGCAGUAACCAAAAUGAUCAAAUAAUUUGUUAGUCUAACUUUGAUGCCUAUUUGAUAGAACAAUGAAGAAAUCCGGAGUCAGCAAAGCUUGGUAAGUAAUGUUAAGUCGAAUAAGAGAAAAGCCAGUAAUAGAAAACAAAACGUAGAGACCAAUGGAGAAAUCUCGACUCAACAAAGUUGGGUGGGUACGUUUCAGUCUUCGUGCGGAGCCGAAACCAAUAAUCUUAAUAGAGGAGGGUACGGCCAGUUAUUGAACUUAGCUGAACUGCAAAGAGUCGAAAACAUACAAAAUACAGCGAGACAGUUUCGGGUACCACUAAUUUCAUCUUAUGGAAACACUGGAAGCACAAUAACUGCAUAUGGAGCACCUUACGAACAUUCUGGGAAUGUUUCACCUGCACAAGGAGUACUUUCGGGACAUGUUGAAAGUGUCUUGCCUGCAUUUGGUGUACCUCAACCAUGAAGAAAUCCCUAUUUGGCGAUUCCUGCACCAAUAUACGAGCAUAAUGUGAUUCCAUUGCAAGCAAACUUUAGCAAUGAAGGAUUUAUCAGAAAGCAAAAUUAGCUCUAUCUGGAAAUUAUGUAACUUGCAUUACUCUAUUUGCAGUCGAAUGUUACUUAUCCCUUUAAUAUGAGGGAUCAAUCAAACUCUUUGCUGCAUUUCUGUAACUGCUGCAGAAACUCAUCAAAUUACUUAUAUGGUUCUGCUUU